Molecule: ribosomal RNA, 253 nt
Filed under: uncultured bacterium
Lineage: Bacteria
Description: partial 16S ribosomal RNA
Rfam family: Bacterial small subunit ribosomal RNA
Source: RNAcentral
UACGUAGGGUCCGAGCGUUGUCCGGAAUUAUUGGGCGUAAAGAGCUCGUAGGCGGCUUGUCGCGUCGUUCGUGAAAACCUGCAGCUCAACUGCAGGCUUGCGGGCGAUACGGGCAGGCUAGAGUUCGGUAGGGGAGACUGGAAUUCCUGGUGUAGCGGUGAAAUGCGCAGAUAUCAGGAAGAACACCAAUGGCGAAAGCAGCUCUCUGGGACGGUACUGACGCUGAGACGCGAAAGCGUGGGGAGCGAACAGG